This 182-nucleotide unclassified non-coding RNA is filed under the name soil metagenome. RNAcentral's name for it is "partial contains 5.8S ribosomal RNA, internal transcribed spacer 2, and large subunit ribosomal RNA". The record is from RNAcentral.
AAGACUAUAGACCUGCGGAGUACCUGCGGAAGGAUCAUUUUCGGGAGGGAUUAACAAAGACUUGUGUGGGUCUGUGAUGGGCUCCACAAGUGGUUAACUUAGACACACAUUCCGAUGGAACAUGGCAUUUGUCUGAAAAUACAAUGGAAAUUGACUGAUAAAACUUUCAACAAUGGAUCUCU